GCUCCUUCGGGAGCCUAGUGAGUGGCAACGGGUGAGUACGCGUGGGUACGUACCCUGAUCCUGGGAAUAACCCUCGGAAACGAGGGCUAAUACCGAAUGUGGCGAACGACCGGUUGGUCGCUCGCUAAAGGUGGCCUCUUCUAUGCUGCCGGGUUGGGAUCGGCCCGCGUCCCAUUAGCUAGUUGGUGAGGUAACGGCUCACCAAGGCCACGAUGGGUAGCCGGCCUGAGAGGGUGUACGGCCACACUGGCACUGAGACAAGGGCCAGUCCCCUAUGGGAGGCGCAGGCGGGAAUAGUUCACAAUGGGCGAAAGCCUGAUGACGCGACGCCGCGUGAGCGAAGAAGACCUUCGGGUUGUAAAGCUCUGUCAGGAGGGAAGAAGGCUCUACGGGUUAAUAGCCCGUGGAAUUGACGGUACCUCCAGAGGAAGCCCCGGCUAAAUACGUGCCAGCAGCCGCGGUAAUACGUAUGGGGCAAGCGUUGUCCGGAUUUACUGGGCGUAAAGGGCGCGUAGGCGGUUUGUUAAGUCGAAGGUGAAAUCCUCGGGCUCAACUCGAGAAUUGCCUUCGAUACUGGCAAACUAGAGUGGCGGAGAGGAAAGCGGAACUCUUGGUGUAACGGUGGAAUGUGUACAUAUCAAGGGGAACACCGGUGGCGAAGGCGGCUUUCUGGACGCACACUGACGCUCAGGCGCGAAAGCGUGGGUAGCAAACAGGAUUAGAUACCCUGGUAGUCCACGCCAUAAACGAUGGGUACUAGGUGUCGGGGGUAUCGAACCCUUCGGUGCCGCAGUUAACGCACUAAGUACCCCGGCUGUGGAUUAUGGUCGCAAGGCUGAAACU
Molecule: ribosomal RNA, 843 nt
Filed under: uncultured organism
Description: bacterial SSU rRNA
Rfam family: Bacterial small subunit ribosomal RNA
Source: RNAcentral